Small nucleolar RNA from Cynoglossus semilaevis (tongue sole), 82 nucleotides. Ensembl annotates it as small nucleolar RNA snR60/Z15/Z230/Z193/J17. The record is from Ensembl. NCBI's taxonomy places the organism in Eukaryota, Metazoa, Chordata, Actinopteri, Pleuronectiformes, Cynoglossidae.
CUUGACACAGUGAUGAUUUCAUAGUUCAACAGACUGACAGUGAAGAAUACUUUUGUCUUUCGCUCCUAUCUGAAGUGUCCUC